ACCCGUUGGAUUUCAAUCACAAUCGAAUCGGAAUUACGCCUUAGAUUGUUAGAACAAGUACCGCAACGAAAAUCUGAUUGUGAUUUAAAUCUAACUAAAUUUUAUUAUAAAUACAACUUACAGAUAAUUGCUAUAUCCAAAUAAAUACUUAAUUGAUCCGGAAGCGUGCGAGGUACUGCCCUAAGGCGUAUUCCCGUCCUUACGUGCGGGAUUAACCGGGAACAACACCCCAAGGUACGACCGGAAUUCCUCCUCCUGCGAGCACGAUCGUGAAGAAGGUUGACGGAGACUCUUUCAACACCCGAUGACAAAGAGAUUGAUCAAAAUAGAAUCUAAAAUAAAAUUUAAAUCAUUCUUUGCAAUGUUCAUGUAUCUCAAAAGAACAGCAUGCAAAGCUAAAAUAUAUAUAUAGAGGGGUUAUAUGGUGUAACAUUGGAAUCAACCCCAACGUACAAACCUUAUUAUGCACCCUUAAUUCAUGCUUUAAUGUGAAAUAAAGGAGGAAUAAAUUAAAUUUAAUACAUCCAAUUAAUUAAUAUAAUAAAAGACAAUAAAUGUAAAUAAUUAUAAAAUUAAAUGAUAUUUAGAGAUUUUGGAUUUUUUCACCAACAAUCCCCCACAAAAUUCAAAAUCACAAAAGAAGAAUUAAACAAACAAAUAAAUAAAUCAUCGGGUGUUUAUACUAUGCAAUAGGCGAGGUGUCUUUAAGAGACUUAACCCCACUUAGUGUAAAUAGUUUCCAUCAGAAGGAAUCGGAGUGAACCAGGUCUUGAACUACGUUCCUUUGGCCCUGACUUCUACUACCACACACACAGUACAGAAUUCUCCGUCGCGGGUCUGUGCGUUAAUGGCCAUGCACAGUACCUUGAUUUUUCAUAAGAGUUUCUAUGUAUAGCCCAUUCACAUAGCCGCGGCCACAUACGGAUACUCUUAUAUAGGUGGUUUCCUCCAGGGAUGUGUGUAGAGUCACAUCUCGCGAAAAUUAUCGCCUUGGAUCCCAUUAAGAGCUCUCAGCUCAACCUAAUCCACUACACAGAGCACUACUCACCAUAGGGAUGGGAUUGGAGCUAAAGCUCCUAUAUAAAAUUUGUAGAAAGUGCUCUUUGGCCAACCUGACAGCUUGUUUUUACCACAUUGAACCUUCUUCAAGGGAUCUCCUAUCACAAAGGUUGGGUUCCCACUGCAGGAAGGCCCUUUAUGGGCAAAUCCCAUCCCCCUCGAUGACUCCAGGACCUUAGUCCUAUUCAAGCCGUUCGUCAAAUAAUCUGCAAAGUUUUGUUCAGAUCUGAUAAAAUCAAAUAAGUAAUAUUAUAAAAAUAACCAUCUAAUAAAUUUAUGUCUCAAAAUAAUUUACCUGCCAGUCUUAGAAUUUGCAAAAUUCGUUUCCAAGAUGAACACUAGGAUAAAAUCACGAGAGCAAUUAUAAUAUCAAAAUUUAUCAACAGAUAAAAGAUUUUCCCCCACAAGUUCUGCGAUAUAUCAAAACUUAAAAUCAUGAGGUUAAUUAUGUCUAAUGGAGUUUGGGGUUCAACAGCAAAUAGAUGGCCUAAAUAAUUUUUUAAAAUUUUAUCUCAAUUAGAUCUUUUCAUUACAAAAUAUAAUGCAAGCAAUAUGCAUCAAACAAAAUGAUUACAGGAAAGUGGUGCUGUUGGUUACACGACUUUGUUCAAAGACUGUGCUUAAACAAACUGUGGGUUUCAAAUCCCAAUAUUGAAACAAUAACAAUAAUAUUUAAUAAUAAAGCUUAAAGAAAUCUAACCUUUUUUUUUUUUAAUUUUAUAAACAAACUUAAAACACCCUAUAACAGAUAUGAGAAUAUAAUAAUUGAUAAUUAAGCUAUAUGCAAUUAGCAAGUAAAUUAUAUGCAAUUAGAAUUUGAAAAUACUAAUUCUAAUUUAUUUAAAUUAGAACGACAAACAUGCAAUCAAAUUUGUCUAACAAAAAUAACAUUCGAUAUCUUUCUAUUUUAAGCAAAAUAAUAAUUAAACUACAUACAUAAGUGUGCUAGUCUCGAACAGCAGUGCAGCGCAACGACAUGAUAAAAUUCCAGUAACAAGCUAUCAUGGGUAGACACUCCCCCACAAAAAUUAAUAUUUAAUAUCGAGGUUGGCACAUAGCCCACAUAUAUUAGAUAUUAAACUAAUAAGAACAAAUAUUACAACGAAACAGUAUAUUUAUAUAAGGUUACACUGAUUUUUUUCUUUUUUUUUUAAUACUCAUCAAAUAAAAUGUAAUUUAAACAAGAAAUUACAUAAUAUGCAAUUAUAGGUUAAAAUGAUAAUUCCGAAAAAUUUAUGUUUGAAUGCCAAUCAUACAAACAAAUUAACUAACAAAUUAUAUACAUAUAAAAUUAAAAUUAAUUUAAUACAGAUUAGCACCCGUUGGAUUUCAAUCACAAUCGAAUCGGAAUUACGCCUUAGAUUGUUAGAACAAGUACCGCAACGAAAAUCUGAUUGUGAUUUAAAUCUAACUAAAUUUUAUUAUAAAUACAACUUACAGAUAAUUGCUAUAUCCAAAUAAAUACUUAAUUGAUCCGGAAGCGUGCGAGGCACUGCCCUAAGACGUAUUCCCGUCCUUACGUGCGGGAUUAACCGGGAACAACACCCCAAGGUACGACCGGAAUUCCUCCUCCUGCGAGCACGAUCGUGAAGAAGGUUGACGGAGACUCUUUCAACACCCGAUGACAAAGAGAUUGAUCAAAAUAGAAUCUAAAAUAAAAUUUAAAUCAUUCUUUGCAAUGUUCAUGUAUCUCAAAAGAACAGCAUGCAAAGCUAAA
This 2776-nucleotide long non-coding RNA is filed under the name Ananas comosus (pineapple). Its description in RNAcentral is "long non-coding RNA (ACOM_LNC005323)". The record is from RNAcentral. Lineage: Eukaryota; Viridiplantae; Streptophyta; Magnoliopsida; Poales; Bromeliaceae.